CUUUACAUUCCUUUCUCAACAUCACUAGUCAUCAAAUACAAAAGAUGAACAUAGGGUACUCUACCAACAAAAUGUAAACCCAACUUUGGUGGCCUCUGACUAAGGCGCGAUACCUUUACCUCGGUCGCUCGCCGGCUCGCUCGGUCCCGGCUCUGUGGAAAUAGUGGGGUGAGAACUACAACAAAGUUCCUAGUGGGUUCGGCCUCAACAUCACCGACUUUCCCACUAGGACUAACUCAGGCAUAAUAGAAAGAAUAAGCUGCAUAUAGUAACCAAUCUAUACAUGAUGCUAAUAUGCCUGAACAAUAA
This 309-nucleotide long non-coding RNA is filed under the name Ananas comosus (pineapple). RNAcentral describes it as "long non-coding RNA (ACOM_LNC037041)". Lineage: Eukaryota; Viridiplantae; Streptophyta; Magnoliopsida; Poales; Bromeliaceae. The record is from RNAcentral.